RNAcentral lists this long non-coding RNA (2263 nucleotides) under Phoenix dactylifera (date palm). Its description in RNAcentral is "long non-coding RNA (PDAC_LNC006843)". Lineage: Eukaryota; Viridiplantae; Streptophyta; Magnoliopsida; Arecales; Arecaceae. The record is from RNAcentral.
CAUAAAUUAAUAUCUUAUUCAUAGCACUUAUCAUUAUUUUAAUUCACAUAUUUUGUAAAUUCAACCAAAAAAUGUAUUACCUUCACCAGUGUAUUUUAAUGAAUUAUCAAAGGUAAUUCAAGUUCGAUUUGAUUAUUUAUUGAUUAAGUUUAAUGCAUGCAGGUCAAGUCAAGCUCAAUUAGGUAAAGCCUAAACGGACACUACAUCAUUUCAUAAUUUUAUAUUUUUAAGAAUCGACUCCAAGAAUUUUUUUCCAAAAUUCAGUGCUUUUCAAGUUCACCUAAAUUUCUUCCCACUCAUUCCAACUCUUUUUCCACAUAACCUAAUUUCCCUAUUUUAAUCUUAAAAAAACCAAUAAAAUCCUUUCAAUUAUUUAUCUCUCAGAUCUCAAAGCAUACCAUCCUAAUUGCACGGAUCCCAAAGCUCCAUUCACUCAUCACUCUCACCGAUCCCCUAUUCCCAGCUAAUGGAUAAAGCCCAGGCUUCCUCGCGCUCCCAUGUCUUCCGAGCCGUGAGCGUUUUUUUUUCUUCGACUUCCGUUCACGAAAACAAGGAGCAGUUCCAUUUCUUCCCGAGAUCACNNNNNNNNNNNNNNNNNNNNNNNNNNNNNNNNNNNNNNNNNNNNNNNNNNNNNNNNNNNNNNNNNNNNNNNNNNNNNNNNNNNNNNNNNNNNNNNUUCUGCAUCCAAAAAAUCCUCUGCUUCCUUUCUUAGUUCAGCCUCAUCUCGGUCGUGAUUCACCUUCAUCCCGCAUUGUUCUCGAUUCGACUUUAUCUUCCCAGGAUUCACAUCAUCCAAACUUCUUCCCUUCCGUAUCUUCAUUUCCAAAAACCUCCACGAAUCACGUCCACAAAUAGAAUCCCCUGUUUCAAAAUUCCAUCCUCUUCCAGCUUUCCGUGAGCCAAUCCACAUCAUCCCAGCUCCCGUAUCUUAUUGCUUCCCAACCAAAACCAAAUCGGAACAGAGUAUCCCAACCUCCUUCCGGAUUCGCCUUCUCAGCGGUUCUCUAUGAUUUAUCCAAAUCCCCUGCUUCCAGCUGCUUCAUCCUCUCAAACGCCCGCGUCUUGCAUCCGAAUCCCCUAUUUCACGGUCAGCCAUCAUCCGGAUUAAUCCCAGCAUAUCCAUGGAUAAACUCCGAACUGAUUUACCUCCCAGAUUUCAUCUGCAUCACCCAAAGAUCUCUUCCCAUCCCGUGAUCAUCAAAGGAUCUCGUUUCAGCCGAUUCCCAGACUUCAUCCUCCCGAGUCCCGAGCUUCACGGCAACCAAAUGUGUCUUCCCCUGUUUCGGAAACAGAACACAGGCAUCUUUCCACUUCGUGGAUCACUCCAUUCCAAGUUCAUCGCAGCGUCCGUGAGUAUCUCCUAGAGUCUUCGGAUCCAGCUCUAACUUCUACCGCGUCCGGAUCUUCCGCGGCCAACAAAUCCCAUCUCCAUCCAGCCGCUUUCAUCCUUAUCCCCUGCUUCAAAGAUAGAGUUCAUCUUCCCGCAUCCAGCUGUCCACCAAGGUUCCAGAUUGAUUCCAAAGGGGGGCGGGUGAAGGCUAUAAAAGGGAAGCAAUGCAUGAAGAUGAGAGCAUUCGGAAGGAGGGAGCCGGCUGGUCCCAAUCUCUCUUCACAGGCCGAGUUCCCACAAGAAGAAAGAGGGAGAGAAGACUUUGGUUAUUUUGGGAAUGAUUUCCCAAAGAAAAAAAUAAUGAAGUCCAAGAGGGAGAGGAAGCCGGCAGGAGAAAGGAGGGAGAACCCAGUCGUGAUGAAGACCUUCUACAUCGCUGCUGCUGUCGCCCACGACUCCAUGGAAGGCUGAUCUUCUCACUAGGGCUGGAUGCAGCCCUAACAAAGGAAUAAGGGUUUUAUAUUUUAUUUUAUAUUCUUGGAGUUGUAUGGACUUAUUGUUUUUAAUGAAUAUCUUCUUUUGAAUCAUAUUUAAUUUCUGUGAUUUUAAGUAUGAUGUUCGUACAACUGUUCUUCAUGAUCAUUGAAGUAAAAAUAAGAUAGUCCAUGCUUAGGGAAGAUGCGAUGUGCUGCCACCUUAGAUUAGGAUAGACAUUUCAUGCCAACUGAAGAUGGAUUAUGCCUAAAUUACUUUUGUGAAAUUUUAUUCGAAUGCUUAUUAGGCUUGUAGCCAAUUUGCAUGUUAAUCCAAGAACGAAAUAAAUUAUAAAUAACCCUUGUUCCGAUGUUAGUGGUGAAUUCCUUGCCCUAGGUUCUCCCAAAUUGAUAUCAUUUUAAUUGCAUUUUUUUAUUCAAUUGCUUAGUUUAAUAGUCU